GCGCUUAUAGCUCAGCUGGAUAGAGUACUGCCCUCCGAAGGCAGGGGUCGUGGGUUCGAAUCCCGCUAAGCGCGCCA
RNAcentral lists this transfer RNA (77 nucleotides) under Alkanindiges illinoisensis. Its description in RNAcentral is "tRNA-Arg". It matches the Rfam family "tRNA". From Rfam's summary of the family: Transfer RNA (tRNA) molecules are approximately 80 nucleotides in length. Their secondary structure includes four short double-helical elements and three loops (D, anti-codon, and T loops). Lineage: Bacteria; Pseudomonadati; Pseudomonadota; Gammaproteobacteria; Moraxellales; Moraxellaceae. The record is from RNAcentral.